AGGACGGGAGAGCAAUUGGUCCACUCAUCACAUGACCUGAAGACUAAGGGUUCACUGUUCCCGCACA
This 67-nucleotide transfer RNA is filed under the name Rhynchospora breviuscula. Its description in RNAcentral is "tRNA-Met". The record is from RNAcentral. Lineage: Eukaryota; Viridiplantae; Streptophyta; Magnoliopsida; Poales; Cyperaceae.